This 422-nucleotide ribosomal RNA is filed under the name uncultured archaeon. RNAcentral's name for it is "partial 16S ribosomal RNA". It matches the Rfam family "Archaeal small subunit ribosomal RNA", at positions 323 to 746 of the family's 1478-position model. The record is from RNAcentral.
CUACGGGGUGCUCCAGGCGAGAAAACUUUGCAAUGUGCGAAAGCACGACAAGGUUAAUCCGAGUGGUUUGUGCUAAACGAACCUUUUGACAGUCCUAGAAACACUGUUGGAUAAGGGGUGGGCAAGUUCUGGUGUCAGCCGCCGCGGUAAAACCAGCACCUCAAGUGGUCAGGAUGAUUAUUGGGCCUAAAGCAUCCGUAGCCGGCUCUGUAAGUUUUCGGUUAAAUCUGUACGCUCAACGUACAGGCUGCCGGGAAUACUGCAGAGCUAGGGAGUGGGAGAGGUAGACGGUACUCGGUAGGAAGGGGUAAAAUCCUUUGAUCUAUUGAUGACCACCUGUGGCGAAGGCGGUCUACCAGAACACGUCCGACGGUGAGGGAUGAAAGCUGGGGGAGCAAACCGGAUUAGAUACCCUCGUAGUC